CGUUAGCGGCGGACGGGUGAGUAACACGUGGGUAACCUACCUAUAAGACUGGGAUAACUUCGGGAAACCGGAGCUAAUACCGGAUAAUAUUUCGAACCGCAUGGUUCGAUAGUGAAAGAUGGUUUUGCUAUCACUUAUAGAUGGACCCGCGCCGUAUUAGCUAGUUGGUAAGGUAACGGCUUACCAAGGCGACGAUACGUAGCCGACCUGAGAGGGUGAUCGGCCACACUGUAACUGAGACACGGUCCAGACUCCUACGGGAGGCAGCAGCG
RNAcentral lists this ribosomal RNA (272 nucleotides) under uncultured Staphylococcus sp. Its description in RNAcentral is "partial 16S ribosomal RNA". It matches the Rfam family "Bacterial small subunit ribosomal RNA", at positions 90 to 356 of the family's 1533-position model. The record is from RNAcentral. Lineage: Bacteria; Bacillati; Bacillota; Bacilli; Caryophanales; Staphylococcaceae.